This 211-nucleotide unclassified non-coding RNA is filed under the name soil metagenome. Its description in RNAcentral is "partial contains small subunit ribosomal RNA, internal transcribed spacer 1, and 5.8S ribosomal RNA". The record is from RNAcentral.
UUUCCGUAGGUGAACCUUCGGAAGGAUCAUUACCGAGUGCCGGGCGCAAGCCCGUCUUCGCACACCCUCUGUCGACUCUCCGCAGUUGCUUCGGCGGCGGCGCCCUCGCGGGCCCCCGCCGGAGGACCAACCUAAACGCAUGGCAAACCGGUCUGUCCGAGGCUAUACGCGAAAUCAGUCAAAACUUUCAACAACGGAUCUCUUGGUUCGG